AAACACAAACCACACACGUCCACCGUUUACAAUUGCUGACAUUUCGUUUACAGACGCAGAGAGCUCAAACCACCUCUUCAACCCUCUGCGAGCAAGUUAAGGAGCAUCAUGGCUAAGCGCUAACUAGCAUUAGCUCGAGUGACUAAUCAAAUUCGCGACUAAUGGAUUUCCGAGGACACAAAGGCAAAAGACAAAUGUACAGGUACUCAGCGCCCCAUGAGAGAGGAAGCAGCUCCUCCAGUGUCAUCAUGGUGUAGGAUCCAUCCACCUUGGUCAUGAAGACGGGGAUGUCUCCAAACUAUGAGGAGAGCGAUGAGAUUUUAAAGAUUGAAAAAUAAAUUGCUCUGCUAUAAAACAAAAAUAAGACCGG
Molecule: long non-coding RNA, 370 nt
Organism: Acanthopagrus latus (yellowfin seabream)
Lineage: Eukaryota; Metazoa; Chordata; Actinopteri; Spariformes; Sparidae
Exons: 2
Source: RefSeq, a predicted model, not a curated record